AAAAGGGAGUUAGCACCAAGUUGUUCAUCCCCUUUUGCAAUUGUCUUCUCUUAUUCUCUUUUCUCUUUACCUGCUUGCUUACAGUUCAUAUUACGUUGCAGCGUGAUAGUUUUCAUCCAUCUCCUCAUGAAUCAAUCGGGUGUUGUCUGUUUGGGAGUUGCGGCUAUCCCUCCUAACAAAUGAUUUUCUUAGAGUUCGACCUUACGACCUUACCCUUCAGCUUGUCUAUCAGACCAUCACUAAACCAAUAUUGCUGCAUAUUCACAAAUCCAGGCCAAAUUAGAUAUCUUCAUUCUGUCGACUCUUGGCUCUGGGCUUUCAACACGUAGCUGCUAAGUGUCAAAUGAUUAGAAACUAUCUUUUCCUUUGUCCUGUUUAUUGAUUGAUUGAUUAGCAUCAGUUCACACCUGGAGAAGUCAGGCAAGAGAUAACCUGGCGAACUGAAACAUCUUAGUAGCCAGAGGAAAAGAAAGCAUUUAUACGACAUGCUGCUUUUUCCAUUUAUUCCUUUCUGGAUCAGUCGUGGUCUUACAAACUCUACUGAUGGUAUGGAUGAACCAAAUUCUUAUUAUCAAUACACAAAUGUAUAACUCCCCGGGAAUUUCAAUUGCGCUUAUAUUCAUCACUGUAGGUUCAAAUCCCGUCUCCGCAACAUUUUUCUCAAAUCCAUUUUCAUUGACCAAUUAGAAUUGCCUCCCAAGAUCUAUAAUUGUCGGGAGAAGGGGUGCCUCCUCACAAAGGGGGUACGGUUCUGUAGAGUGGCGGUAAGCAUUACUUAUCUGUCAACUUUUCCGAAUCUAUUAUAACUAUCAAAAAAUUCCUAGUAUUAAAAAAAAGAUCUGCUAUUGGAAAAAGAAAAAAAAACCUACGCUUGCUGAAGGUAAGAAAUAUUAUUUAUAUUUUUUAGAAAUUCUACGAACCUUUUGUCUCCGGCUAUUGCGUCCUUACCCAUGAUAAACGAAAA
Molecule: long non-coding RNA, 964 nt
Organism: Lotus japonicus
Lineage: Eukaryota; Viridiplantae; Streptophyta; Magnoliopsida; Fabales; Fabaceae
Exons: 3
Source: RefSeq, a predicted model, not a curated record